AGUUUGAUUCUGGCUCAGGACGAACGCUGGCGGCGUGCCUAAUACAUGCAAGUCGAGCGGACAGAUGGGAGCUUGCUCCCUGAUGUUAGCGGCGGACGGGUGAGUAACACGUGGGUAACCUGCCUGUAAGACUGGGAUAACUCCGGGAAACCGGGGCUAAUACCGGAUGGUUGUUUGAACCGCAUGGUUCAGACAUAAAAGGUGGCUUCGGCUACCACUUACAGAUGGACCCGCGGCGCAUUAGCUAGUUGGUGAGGUAACGGCUCACCAAGGCGACGAUGCGUAGCCGACCUGAGAGGGUGAUCGGCCACACUGGGACUGAGACACGGCCCAGACUCCUACGGGAGGCAGCAGUAGGGAAUCUUCCGCAAUGGACGAAAGUCUGACGGAGCAACGCCGCGUGAGUGAUGAAGGUUUUCGGAUCGUAAAGCUCUGUUGUUAGGGAAGAACAAGUGCCGUUCAAAUAGGGCGGCACCUUGACGGUACCUAACCAGAAAGCCACGGCUAACUACGUGCCAGCAGCCGCGGUAAUACGUAGGUGGCAAGCGUUGUCCGGAAUUAUUGGGCGUAAAGGGCUCGCAGGCGGUUUCUUAAGUCUGAUGUGAAAGCCCCCGGCUCAACCGGGGAGGGUCAUUGGAAACUGGGGAACUUGAGUGCAGAAGAGGAGAGUGGAAUUCCACGUGUAGCGGUGAAAUGCGUAGAGAUGUGGAGGAACACCAGUGGCGAAGGCGACUCUCUGGUCUGUAACUGACGCUGAGAGCGAAAAGCGGGGGAGCGAACAGGAUUAGAUACCCUGGGUAGUCCA
Molecule: ribosomal RNA, 805 nt
Filed under: Bacillus amyloliquefaciens
Lineage: Bacteria; Bacillati; Bacillota; Bacilli; Caryophanales; Bacillaceae
Description: bacterial SSU rRNA
Rfam family: Bacterial small subunit ribosomal RNA
Source: RNAcentral